RNAcentral lists this ribosomal RNA (114 nucleotides) under uncultured bacterium. Its description in RNAcentral is "partial 16S ribosomal RNA". It matches the Rfam family "Bacterial small subunit ribosomal RNA", at positions 557 to 670 of the family's 1533-position model. The record is from RNAcentral.
GGCGUAAAGAGCGUGUAGGCGGAUAGUUAAGUUUGAAGUGAAAUCCAAUGGCUCAACCAUUGAGCUGCUUUGAAAACUGAUUAUCUAGAAUAUGGGAGAGGUAGAUGGAAUUUC